AACGAACGCUGGCGGCAGGCUUAACACAUGCAAGUCGAACGGGCGUAGCAAUACGUCAGUGGCAGACGGGUGAGUAACACGUGGGAAUAUCCCUCUCAGUUCGGAAUAACUCAGGGAAACUUGAGCUAAUACCGGAUACGUCCUUCGGGAGAAAGAUUUAUCGCUGAGAGAUUAGCCCGCGUCUGAUUAGCUAGUUGGUGAGGUAAUGGCUCACCAAGGCGACGAUCAGUAGCUGGUCUGAGAGGAUGAUCAGCCACACUGGGACUGAGACACGGCCCAGACUCCUACGGGAGGCAGCAGUGGGGAAUAUUGGACAAUGGGGGCAACCCUGAUCCAGCCAUGCCGCGUGAGUGAUGAAGGCCUUAGGGUUGUAAAGCUCUUUUGCCAGGGAAGAUAAUGACUGUACCUGGAGAAUAAGCCCCGGCUAACUUCGUGCCAGCCGCCGCCGUAA
RNAcentral lists this ribosomal RNA (451 nucleotides) under uncultured bacterium. Its description in RNAcentral is "partial 16S ribosomal RNA". It matches the Rfam family "Bacterial small subunit ribosomal RNA", at positions 29 to 523 of the family's 1533-position model. The record is from RNAcentral.